AGGAACACAAGGAGAGCAGGGAGUCCACUCUGACCACUCACUGAGUGACACUGAGCAGGUGGCGCUGCAGGAGGCCCAGCUGGACCAGGAGCUCCAUGAGCAGCUGCUGUCCCCUGCACAGUUCCACCCCCCGUUUUUAGGGGGAGGGCUGGAGCAGGAGCGCGUCCGGAUUGAGCGGCCACCCCCACAUGCCUUAUCACAGCGUGACCAUGGACUCCAGCGAGACCAACUCCCAUCCACUGAAAAAGGAGCAGCCCAAAGUUUUAAGUCUUUCAUUUAGAAAAAGCAGUCUAGCUGAAUUCUGUCUAUCCCUGUUUUUUAUGCUGCACACCUUUUUUAUAUUUACUUGAAGAGCUCAGAUGCACUCAGUGUGUGUAAGUCCUGUGAGUAUAACUCUCUUUAUAAUUCAGUAAAGUUAAAAACUAAAGUUGUAUAGUUUAUUACCAUAACUCUCAACCUUUAUGAAAAAAUGUGUACCAUUUUACAAAAGUGAGAAAAAACUGCAUCUGGUUGUAAAUCUUUGAUACAGAAGGGGAAAGGAGUACUUAAGCUAUUUGAUUCCUUCUUUUAUUAAAGCAAAGGUUUGCCAUAAAUGAUAUUUACACAAUCAGCUAAGAUGCUUUUGUUUUUUUAAUUCUUCUUUAGUACUGCACUGGAGCUACCAGAGUAACAUGAUACAAGCGUUUAUACUAAUAGA
This is a long non-coding RNA of Pygocentrus nattereri (red-bellied piranha), 697 nucleotides long. RefSeq lists it as uncharacterized. The record is from RefSeq and is a predicted model, not a curated record. NCBI's taxonomy places the organism in Eukaryota, Metazoa, Chordata, Actinopteri, Characiformes, Serrasalmidae. The transcript has 3 exons.